Molecule: ribosomal RNA, 741 nt
Filed under: Pseudomonas sp. Y4_348_9
Lineage: Bacteria; Pseudomonadati; Pseudomonadota; Gammaproteobacteria; Pseudomonadales; Pseudomonadaceae
Description: bacterial SSU rRNA
Rfam family: Bacterial small subunit ribosomal RNA
Source: RNAcentral
GCAGUCGAGCGGUAGAGAGAAGCUUGCUUCUCUUGAGAGCGGCGGACGGGUGAGUAAUGCCUAGGAAUCUGCCUGGUAGUGGGGGAUAACGUUCGGAAACGGACGCUAAUACCGCAUACGUCCUACGGGAGAAAGCAGGGGACCUUCGGGCCUUGCGCUAUCAGAUGAGCCUAGGUCGGAUUAGCUAGUUGGUGGGGUAAUGGCUCACCAAGGCGACGAUCCGUAACUGGUCUGAGAGGAUGAUCAGUCACACUGGAACUGAGACACGGUCCAGACUCCUACGGGAGGCAGCAGUGGGGAAUAUUGGACAAUGGGCGAAAGCCUGAUCCAGCCAUGCCGCGUGUGUGAAGAAGGUCUUCGGAUUGUAAAGCACUUUAAGUUGGGAGGAAGGGUUGUAGAUUAAUACUCUGCAAUUUUGACGUUACCGACAGAAUAAGCACCGGCUAACUCUGUGCCAGCAGCCGCGGUAAUACAGAGGGUGCAAGCGUUAAUCGGAAUUACUGGGCGUAAAGCGCGCGUAGGUGGUUUGUUAAGUUGGAUGUGAAAUCCCCGGGCUCAACCUGGGAACUGCAUUCAAAACUGACUGACUAGAGUAUGGUAGAGGGUGGUGGAAUUUCCUGUGUAGCGGUGAAAUGCGUAGAUAUAGGAAGGAACACCAGUGGCGAAGGCGACCACCUGGACUAAUACUGACACUGAGGUGCGAAAGCGUGGGGAGCAAACAGGAUUAGAUACCCUGGUAGU